AUGGCUCACCUGCACCAAAAGAAGCAGCAUCCAUUCCUCUGCAAUACUCCAUUCCUCCUCCAAUCUCUGCACAAACCAAUCGCUGCAAAAAAUCAGCUCACCUGCUUGCUUCAACAGACAGACAUCACCUGUAAAUUCAGAAGACAGACUUGCGCUGUGGGCGAGCGGGGAGCAGAAGCAGAAGCGGCAGCGGCGGCGCUGGUGGAGCCAAGAGUGCAGGUCCUCCAUCAUCAGCCCACCAGCUCGAGGAGCAAGAUGAGCUGCUGGAGCAAGUCUUCGUCUUCCCCAUGCCCUGGUCGUCUUUCCCAUGCCACCGCCGCCGGAGCUCGAGGUCUGGAGGGGGUGCUCGAGAACGAGGAGCGGGUCAUCGAGCGCCGCCGACGCAGCCGGCAAGGCACGAGCUUUACAGAAAAGGAGAUCCUUCCCUCUUGA
RNAcentral lists this ribosomal RNA (432 nucleotides) under Triticum aestivum (bread wheat). RNAcentral describes it as "partial small subunit ribosomal RNA". Lineage: Eukaryota; Viridiplantae; Streptophyta; Magnoliopsida; Poales; Poaceae. The record is from RNAcentral.